CGUCUUUGACCUUCAUUUACAGAAUACUACGGGGCAUUCCCCGGAAUAAAAUAUAUACAAAUUCUUUGGGGCAUUCCCCGGAUAUAUUAAACUAAGGAAACAAUCUCUCGCCUGAAAACUAACAAAAAUCCUAAAGAUUGCCUACCCAGGUGAUGGCGGCCUAUGCAUGCUCCUACCCAAAAAGUAACUAAAACAAGGAUAAAAGAACAAUAUUAAUAUCUUGAACCUAAAAUUUCUUUUAAUUUUUACUCGGCAACCAAAUUUCUAUAUUGCGAUAAAAUCAUGUCCAACUAUAAUCAAUGUGAGUAACAUACGAGAAGAUAACUAGGUGAACAAAUUCAAAACCAUAGAGAACACCUACACAAUAAAUGGAAUCAUAUCACCAAAAAAACAAUUAACAUUAAGCUUAAAUAAACGAAUAGGGAAUGAAAGAGUUGAACCUCAAAAUAGUCGAAACAAUGGAUCGUUUCAAUGUUUUGGACUGAAAAAUUUGAUGAACAGCAAAUGGAACUCGAAUUAGCACUGGAAAGCUCGGAUAGGGACAGUGAACUAUUUUUGUUGAAAUUUCUCCACACCUGUUUCUCUUUAUACCCGUUAUUUAUUUAUUUUUGUUCUUUUUUUUUUUUUAAGUUUCAAAUCUCUAUUUGCUGCUCUUGUCACUACUGUAGGUGUCUUCUAAGUUUAUGGGGUGCCGACGACUAUGGUGUUAGAGUGUGGUGGUCGUGAUAGUGAGAUUUUUGAGAGAAGGUGUCGCUGGAUUAGGGUGGAUAGACGAGGGGGUUUGGGGCUAGUCGUUGUAGCUGAAGCUUAAGUGUGAUAGCUGAGGGGGUGGCGAAUUUUGAGAUGAGGGGGUGGGGUAACGGCUGGUGGUCGAUAUUUAGGGAUUUCCAACGAGUUUUUGGCGUGGAGAAGGUGGAGAUCAGGGGUCGUUGGUUGAAGAAUGAUUGCGGAGAGAAUGGUGGAGUGAGAGGCUGAUUUCCGGCGAUUUUGAGAGAUGAAGAAGAUGGGGUCGCGGCAGAAGCAUAUGUUUGAGACUGUGGUGGUCAACGACUUUCCGGCGGAUUUCAAGCGGCGGCGACUGGUGGUGAGUCCUUUUAGUCUCUAGGGUUUUUGUUAUAGUGUCUAGGGUUGAAGGGAUGAUGUGGUCGGCUGGAAGUUGAAGAUAAAGAAGCAUGGGUCGUCGCCGGAGUUGAAGGGGUUACCGGCGGCUCAUUGAGGUGAAGGAGCCUGGGCGGCGGCACUGGUCUUCUAGGGUUCAACCCUUGUGUGUAUUCCUUGGGGUUGUUUGGUGUUGUCUCUAUAUGUGUAUAUGGUGAAGAAGAGGGGUUGGCUUGAAUUUUUGGAUGAAGAAGAAAGUGGGCGGCCUCAGGGUUCAGGCGGAUAACAACGGCGGCGGUUUUAGGGUGGUGAAAAAAAUAGGUCCUAGUUUUUUUUUUGCUCCUAAUAUGUCUAUUAAGG
RNAcentral lists this long non-coding RNA (1458 nucleotides) under Nicotiana benthamiana. RNAcentral describes it as "long non-coding RNA (NBEN_LNC042378)". The record is from RNAcentral. Lineage: Eukaryota; Viridiplantae; Streptophyta; Magnoliopsida; Solanales; Solanaceae.